Molecule: RNA transcript, 2921 nt
Organism: Ipomoea triloba (trilobed morning glory)
Lineage: Eukaryota; Viridiplantae; Streptophyta; Magnoliopsida; Solanales; Convolvulaceae
Gene name: serine/threonine-protein kinase 11-interacting protein-like
Exons: 6
Source: RefSeq, a predicted model, not a curated record
CCAUGGCGGUUCUCUCUCCCGAGAAACUAAUAGAUUAUAUGCAUUUGGAGAUCCGAAUCCAUAUUUAAAGGUCUGAAAUCUGAAUUGACAGCGAUGGCGAUAGUGACCGGAGACUGGUAUCUGGACGCACUGGUGAAGUUCGUCGAGAGCCAUGCGGAGCUGUUGAUUGAAGGGACGUUAGUGCUCAAACUCAACCCUGUCGGUCUCCACUACGUGCACUCCAGGCUCGAGGCGCUGGCGGAGUUAGAAAGCUUGCUCGCCGGUGCUCCGGUGGAUUACUUCCGUGCCUACGUCUCGGACCUAGGUGACCACCGCGCUCUCGAGCAGCUCCGUCGGAUUCUCUGCCACCUAACAUCGCUUAAGGUUUUCUCCGUGCUGCCGCCACCGGCCAGGGAUCCCUCGCCUCUGUCGCUGCUGCCUUUUACCAGGCUUAAGGUUCUGGAGCUAAGAGGAUGUGAUCUCUCCACCUCCGCCGCUAAAGGACUUCUCCAACUCAGGCAAUCUUUGGAGAAAUUGAUUUGUCAUAAUUCAACUGAUGCAUUACGGCAUGUAUUUGCGAGUAGAAUAGCUGAUAUAAAGGAUUCUCCACAAUGGAAUCGAUUGUGGUUUGUUUCAUGUGCUUGCAAUGGUUUGCUUCUCAUGGAUGAAUCCUUACAGCUCCUUCCCGCUGUCGAAACACUUGAUUUGAGCAGGAACAAGUUUUCUAGAGUGGAUAAUCUUCGAAAGUGCACCAGAUUGAAGCAUCUAGACAUAGGGUUUAAUCACCUCAGAACUGUUGCAGCAUUUAGUAGUGAGGUUUCAUCUCAUAUUGUUAAGCUUGUUUUGAGGAAUAACGCUUUGACUACAUUGCGUGGGAUUGAGAAUUUGAAGUCACUUGAGGGGCUUGAUCUAUCCAACAAUAUAAUCUCUAAUUUCUUUGAGAUAGAAAUCCUUGGUGGACUGUCAUCUCUGCAAAAUUUAUGGUUACAAGGAAAUCCACUUUGUUGUGCAAGAUGGUACAGAGCCCAAGUGCUCAGCUUUUUUACUUAUCCAGACAAAUUGAAACUAGAUGAAAAGAAACACACAAAAAGUGAUAUAUGGAAGAGGCAAAUACUUAUUGCCAGGAGGCAGAGACGCCCUGCUAGUUUUGGAUUUUAUUCACCAGCAAGAGAUGAUGCUGAACCAGAAGGAAUCAUCAACACAAAAAAAAAAAAGGUACCCCGAUUUGUAAGCAUUAACGAUGCAGAAGAAAGUACAUGCCUGUAUUCAGAUGAUGAUUCAGUCUCUUUUGUUAAUGAGAUUCAUAACAAAGAGAAGAAUGCCAUUUCAUAUGAAGAAUCUGGAAUUGUAGAUUUAAUGAAUAGGAUUGAAUUUAUUAAGAAAGAAAAUAAUGGUCUAUGGUUGCAGGAGUUCAAAGAUUGGAUAGAUUGUGACAGUUGUGUUGUGGGUGUUAAUAGUAAAGGGACUAAUUUUAAAGCGGAGAGAGGUAAAGAAAGGAAAGGAAAGAUGAGAGGCAAGCAGAAUGAUGAGAGUUCAAGGUAUGUAUCCAACUCUGUUCAAUUUUCUGGAGAAGAUGGCAAUAUGGAAGUUCUAGAUUCUGAUACUUUCUUUGCUGAAACUUCCCUUAGUUUCAGUGAAAAAAAGUACACUGAUCAGAUAAGCGAAACAGAGUCAAAGAUUUUUGUGGGUCAUGUUGAUGGGAACUUUAACAGUAUGAAAAGCACCAGAAAUAACCAGGAGAAUGUCAAAAUUUUAAAUGAUGAAGUGCUUCAUUCUGGACAUGCUAGAAUCUCUCCUUUUGAUUCUUCUGAAUUCUCCUCUUUGGAUAACAGUUUCACGACUAUACCUUCAUUUAGUACUACUUUGGAUGCUAGCCAUGGAUCACCUCCUCAUUAUAAGGAGGAUAUUUUGUAUCAACGCCACAACUUAGAAGAAGAGUUUCUACAGCUAUCUUCAGAGCCAUUCUUUGUAGCAUCAUCUGAUACCGAUACAAGUUCCAGUAAAGAUGAUUCUGUUCAAUAUGGAGAAUUCAUAUCUCCAAAGAUCAAUUUUUAGUUGAGGAUAUCUCAGAUAUGAGUGUGCAUGGAUUAAAUUUUUCCUGCAAAAUGUUCCAUAAAUGAUGCGAUUAUGAAAGUUUGCCUUUGAGCCAAAUUCCAAGCAGACCUCAUCCAGCUGUAUUGAGGUUCAACAAACAGAUAGAUCCUCAAUCUAUCCGAGGAAACUAAUGCAAGAAGACAAGAUGGAGCAAGUAAUAAAAUCCAAAUAAAAAUCCAUUAGAGAUGGUGAAGAUGGGAUUUAUUCUGUAAGCAAUUUCCAGAAACUUGCUAUUGGAGAUAACUUGUCAAAGGACUACAAUAAAAGAGGUGGAAACGAUGGAAAUGAAAAAUCAAACAGAGAUGGUGAAGAAUGGGAUUUAUUCUAUUGGGAAAUUACAGAAAGUUGUUGUGGACAUAUAACUUGUCAAAGUGCUAUGAUCAAAGUGCAUGCAAAUCAUGGAAAUAAAACUCUGUUUCAGAACAAAAAUUAUUAUUAUGGUGGGACAAAAAAAAAAUAAAUUCAGGAUUACUUCAGGACAAAUGUAACAGAAGUAAGGAUUAAUGAAAUCAUUCGGAAAUAAAGGAUGUGCCAUUAUUUGCUCCAGGAACAGUCUAGGUGCAUAGACAGAGCAAUAGACUAUUUGUCUCUAAAUAACUGACCACUAAGAGGAAAAAGGCGUUUCACAGAUGGAGUAGCAAGCAGCAAAGAGAAGCAAGUCUCUGGUCUCUUGACAUGGCUCUCAAAGAUACUAGUAACGAAAUGCACUACAAUAAUAUAAAUAAGGAUCUAAAACAAGACCCAAGUACCAUGUAACCGUUUUUUUAACAAGAUGGAAUAAACUAAUUUCUAACGACAUUAAACAGAAAUACAUAAAUUAAUGUAAAUAAAAAUUAUUGUACACUAUA